Non-coding RNA from Acanthosepion pharaonis, 104 nucleotides. NCBI's taxonomy places the organism in Eukaryota, Metazoa, Mollusca, Cephalopoda, Sepiida, Sepiidae. The record is from the annotation of a GenBank genome assembly.
ACGGGCACAUCACGUUUAAAAACCUGUUCUCGUGCGAUCAACGAAGUUAAGCAACGUCUAGCUUGAUAAGUACCUAGAUGGGUGACCGCUUGGGAAUACCAGGU